Molecule: transfer RNA, 72 nt
Filed under: Ricinus communis (castor bean)
Lineage: Eukaryota; Viridiplantae; Streptophyta; Magnoliopsida; Malpighiales; Euphorbiaceae
Rfam family: tRNA
About the family: Transfer RNA (tRNA) molecules are approximately 80 nucleotides in length. Their secondary structure includes four short double-helical elements and three loops (D, anti-codon, and T loops).
Source: Rfam by way of RNAcentral
GGGGACUUGGUCUAGUGGUAUGAUUCUCGCUUUGGGUGCAAGAGGUCCCGAGUUGGAUUCUCGGAAUGCCCC